UAUAGAGAGGAUUCCCCUGGUCCGGCAGUGAUCCUUGUCGUGGGAUGUAAGUAGUGUAUAGAGAGGAUUCCCCUGGUCCGGCAGUGAUCCUUGUCGUGGGAUGUAAGUAGUGUAUAGAGAGGAUUCCCCUGGUCCGGCAGUGAUCCUUGUCGUGGGAUACUUCCCAAAUAACACCUCAGUGUCAGUCACAGUCAGUCCCCCUGGGGAAAUAGUGGAGGGCAGAUCAGUGACUCUGACCUGCAGCAGUGAUGCCAAGCCACCAGUGGACAAAUACACCUGGUACAAGAAGAAUGAAGAGCGGACGGGGUUCUCAGAAACAGGAUCAGGGCAGAGUUACAUCAUCCUUAACAUCAGCAAUGAGGACAGUGGGCAGUACUUCUGUAAGGCUGAGAAUCAAUACGGACCACUUGACUCUGCAACUGUGCAUCUCAGUGUAACAGGUAAACCAGUGUUUCCCUGGGCUCCCGUUGUGGGGGUGGUGGCUGUGUUGGCAGCUGGAGCUCUGCUAGUCAUCCUCUAUGGCACACUGAAGAAGAGGAAAACCCCAAGAGGAAUGAACUUUAUCGGGGAGGCACAGAUGGUACCUUGUGGUAAACCGACACACACGGCGCAGUCUGAUGACACGUACAUGACUCUGAAUAAAAGGACAAUGUCUCCUGAGUAUGACACUCUGGCUAAUGUCAGAAACACUGUUGGCUGAAGACCGUCUGGCGGAAGAAGACCCUAUGCCUGCGACCUCAACAUAAAUAGCGUUAGAAGUGAACACCAUAUAACCGUUUGAAAAUUAUUAAAAAGGGUGUAAUUUUUAAAUGAUCAAAUUUAGAGUUGUAUAUUUGAUUUUCUAUAGGUACGCCUAAAAGGUUUUUAGGCAAAAUAACCCAUUCAAAACGGAAAGCUAAUUGAACGUGGGAUUAUGCCAGGGCUAUUGUAUAAAUAGAACAAAAACGAACUAAACGUUUAAGAGAUCUGAAUUUUACUUUAUAAAUAUUUUGCUACAAUGACAGUUA
Oncorhynchus masou masou (cherry salmon) is the source of this 1007-nucleotide long non-coding RNA. RefSeq lists it as uncharacterized. The transcript has 5 exons. NCBI's taxonomy places the organism in Eukaryota, Metazoa, Chordata, Actinopteri, Salmoniformes, Salmonidae. The record is from RefSeq and is a predicted model, not a curated record.